Long non-coding RNA from Aptenodytes forsteri (emperor penguin), 750 nucleotides. RefSeq lists it as uncharacterized. NCBI's taxonomy places the organism in Eukaryota, Metazoa, Chordata, Aves, Sphenisciformes, Spheniscidae. The record is from RefSeq and is a predicted model, not a curated record. The transcript has 2 exons.
CUGCCCUGGGUUACAGGGCUGUGUCAUAGAGAGUCAGGCCGGAGGAGAGAGAAGACGAGGGUGACGAGCACGGGGAGCCGAGCCGCAGGAGGUGCAGGACUCUGCAAGAAACUCGCAGAGCUCUCAGGUCGCCCACCACCUCAGCAGCCUGACUCAGCGCGUUGUGCCUGAAUACCAAACUGAGACCUUGGAUCAGAGCACAGAGCUGAAUGCUGUGUGGUUGGAAGAUUACUGUAGUGAUCCUAACCAGAAGACUAUUGUACGAUCGAGGAGCUAGUGAUCCACGUAACAGUUUUAACCUGAGAAGGUGCAGGCCUGAGCUGUGCUAUGCUGCACGUUCAGCUUCGCCUUCCAGCCUGCGUUGUGCUGUGCAUAUCCCUUGCUAAUAAAAUAAACUUAGCUGGCUAACUGUAACAAAGGAGCCUGUAGGCAGCUCCCACUUAGCACUGGUGAUUAUAGCAUUUGCAUGUCUUUAUCGUGAAGUGAAGCAUAUGAACACCCUUUUGUUUGAUGACAGAAAUUAUGAAUAGAAUUAUUUUCUUCUAAGAAAAUCCAGUAAGAGCUCUAAAGAUCAAGACGUUGGUGGAACCUCCCUACAGAGGGGAUCUGCACGAUAUGCUGUGCAUUGAUUGAAGGUCCCUCUGGUUCUGUGCAAAUCAGAGCUUCCAGCAUCUGAAGGACACAGAACUAUCCAUACUAACCGUGUUUUCCUUCUGGCGUUAAGUUCAAUAAAUGGAAUUUUAAUCAAUA